This 73-nucleotide transfer RNA is filed under the name Chlorobiota bacterium. RNAcentral describes it as "Chlorobi bacterium (hydrothermal vent metagenome) tRNA-Gly". It matches the Rfam family "tRNA". From Rfam's summary of the family: Transfer RNA (tRNA) molecules are approximately 80 nucleotides in length. The record is from RNAcentral. Lineage: Bacteria; Pseudomonadati; Chlorobiota.
GCGAGAAUAGCUCAGCAGGCAGAGCAUCAGCUUCCCAAGCUGAGGGUCGCGGGUUCGAAUCCCGUUUCUCGCU